Molecule: ribosomal RNA, 492 nt
Filed under: uncultured bacterium
Lineage: Bacteria
Description: partial 16S ribosomal RNA
Rfam family: Bacterial small subunit ribosomal RNA
Source: RNAcentral
AGUGAACGCUGGCGGUAGGCCUAACACAUGCAAGUCGAACGGCAGCACAGUAAGAGCUUGCUCUUACGGGUGGCGAGUGGCGGACGGGUGAGGAAUACAUCGGAAUCUACUUUUUCGUGGGGGAUAACGUAGGGAAACUUACGCUAAUACCGCAUACGACCUACGGGUGAAAGCAGGGGAUCUUCGGACCUUGCGCGAUUGAAUGAGCCGAUGUCGGAUUAGCUAGUUGGCGGGGUAAAGGCCCACCAAGGCGACGAUCCGUAGCUGGUCUGAGAGGAUGAUCGGCCACACUGGAACUGAGACACGGUCCCGACUCCUACGGGAGGCAGCAGUGGGGAAUAUUGGACAAUGGGCGUAAGCCUGAUCCAGCCAUACCGCGUGGGUGAAGAAGGCCUUCGGGUUGUAAAGCCCUUUUGUUGGGAAAGAAAAGCAGCAGGUUAAUACCCCGCUGUUCUGACGGUACCCAAAGAAUAAGCACCGGCUAACUUCGUG